UUUCCCUCUCUCUCCACUUCUCCAUUCCCUGCCCCUUCCUUGUCUCAUUCCCCUCCCUAUCCACCUUCACCAACCCCAUCCCCCAUGCACCUUCCAUUCUCCUCCCCUCCCCAUCACCCCUUCCCAUAGUUGGCAGGAUUCCACAACACUGACGAGGUCCAGGUCAGCUGCUUCUAUACAGUGAACAUCACAGGUGGUGUCGUUCUAGCUUGUGUAACUCUCAGUAUUUUUAAUCCUACCUAGAGAGAUGGAAAAGCCCUUGGCAGAGAUGGAACCUAUGGUUAGGGAACUGAAACUAGCUACGUCAACGAAGGAGGGUGAAGCAGCUUUAGUUUAGUGGAGGCGCAGGCUUCGAAGGAUGAAAUUAGUGUCUAAAUCACAGAAUUGUCAAAGAGGGGGCUCUCGAUCUGUCCUCGUUUGACUCAGCAAUGGAAGGAAGGAGUGUCCCUUCAUACAUGUUCUAUCGACCAACUGAUAGGAAGCUAGAUAGAUUUGAAGGGAGACUGGAAACACCAAGUAAUCCUUCGGCUGACGAUUAAAUUGAGGAUGCAUAGAUAGUCACGGCAUCCAAGUGGCUUAAUGAGAGUGAGCAGGCAGCAUUCUUGAUGGAGGAUCUGUUUGGUAAAGCCUAUAGAGAAAAACUAGGGAGACAUUUUGAUGUCCAAAAAAGUUCUCAACUGAUCUUUGAAAUCCUGACAAGGGUGUUUGGUUGUAGCAGAAAUUCUAAUAGUUUGAAAGAAAGGAGAUAGUUUCAGUCUCACUUUCCCUGGCGCUUGUAAAUCUUUUUGACCAAAUUGUCCCCUGGAUCCCUCCUUCAAACCAACAAGGGAAAGCCAGUUGAAAAAUUGCCCAUCUGGAGCUGUAAGGGAUGAAAAUGUCCCGAUGGAGCUGAGGAAAGUUAUCAGUGACAAGCUCCAGCUGUCCUUCAUGAUCAUCAUCAUCUGCAUGAUCACAUUAUCAAGAUCAGGGGAAAGUAUAAAAUUUCUAAAACAAGGAGGGAGACUAUCAUCAGAGAGGCAACUGAAUGGCAUAGCAGACUUGAAGGGCCAAGUGGCCUACUCCUGCUCCUGGUUUAUAUGUUCAAGAUUUGGGGUUGAUGCAUACCUAAUUGACAAAGUUGAUGUGAGAUUUGAUGGGGUAGAAGCAUUGUGUCUAAUUGAUAAGGAGCAGAAUUGUCAACUAUGACCACCCAAUUCUUCAGGUGGCACCCAGCUCAAAGAUGUGAGCUGGAGGAUGUCUCUUCACUCAUCCGAAUCUCCACUUUGCAAGCUUCGGACAUCCCUUAUCAUGGUUAUGUCGAGCUCUCCAUAUCUGUUAACUAUCACCCCUUCCACAACCUUAGAUUUCUGACAGCUUGUGACCCAAUAGAUAGUCCAACAGAAGUAAGGAAGUUGAGAAAACUCCUGGUAUUAAGGUUGAAUGUGUUAAGAGACAUCCAGACACCCCUGGAAAGCAUGCAUGAUGACAACUGUUGUGGAGAAUGGACCUACUGGAGAAGACAUCUCUAACCUCAUCUUAAAGAUGGACAUCAACAAGUUGGAGGAAAUGCAAAGGCAGCAACUUAUCUGUACUCUUACCAAAUACACAACAACUUUGAGUAAGGAGAUGAUGACAUUUGUUAUUGUGACCUGGUGAGCCACAGGAUUGUGACUGAGGAUAACCACCAGAUAAAGAUUGCUCACUGCACGAUCCCACCACAUCACUGGGAUAAAGUCAGGGAGUACCUGCCGAAGUCCUUGGAACGACGUAUCAGUUGAGAUUCCUCGUGAGGAAGAAAGAUAGGAAGCUGAGGAUUUGUGUGUCGACUACUGGGCACUCAGCAUGAAUACGCAUGAGGAUGCUUAACCUCCACCGAGAAUUAAGGAGGUGUUACAAAUCCUCAGUACAAAUAGAUAACAAAAUAUAGCACUUCACUAUUCUUUUCCUAAGUGUUAUGGACAGGAGGGGCAUUAAUUUAAACAGUAGUAAUUUCUCCUCUCACUAACUGUAAACAGAAAGGUGUUUUGAUUUGUUUCCCUCUUUAUAAGUGGUAGCGUGUUUCCCAACCCGGUUUUGGUGUGAUCCAAUUUUCUAUUAAUAACCCCUCAGCAAACUCAAGAUGGGAUGAACUCAAAGGGUUAGUUUAUUUGCACACACUUAAAAUGCGGGAGGAGGGUUGCAACAUUACCUCCUUUGCAUUCAUGCAGUAAAAGGGAGGGAUAGGGAAAAGAAGGAUUUACAGUACAAAGACCGCAUGGGUUCAAGAGUCCAGAAUCAAAGUCCAAUGAGGUAUUCUUUCAGUGAGGUUGGUGGGCUGAUAAACUGAUGUUGUAGAAUUCACUUUUCUGGUGGAGUUAACAUCACAUAAUGAGAUAAGCACACAGAGAUGAAUCAGUCAUGUAGAUGAUGGUGCAUAAUUUCCAGCAGAAACAGUGUAGAUGCAGCCAGGUGCCCAACCUGGGCCAGAAUUCCUUGCCUGUGAGGCUGCUAGUUAGAUGGUUAAAAAAAGCAGCUUGAGACUUUGCAGUUCAGCAAGGCAAUAUUGCUGGUUCCACAAGCCAGAGGCCCAUGUCACAUGACCCCCACCUCUCCACACCGAGUUUGACAAAGUACAUGUAUCCCUCGUUUGGGUUGUCAAGAUUGUCAAAUGUCUCAAUGAUUAAGAAUUGAAAGGAAGGUUCUGGAGCCCUUUGUCUUAGCAGAUGAGCAGACUCUUAUUGGCCAGCUUGAGUUAUGAAAUGCAGAUGGCCUUUGUAUAGCUCUCUUUGCAUUUGAUCUGUAUCGCCCAUAAGGGGUCGUAGUGACUCUCCAGGAAUAAUAAUGUGUGAGUUUGCCGGAUAUUGCCAGGUAGCUUGUUUGGGGUCACAGACACACAUAGAUUCAACCAAUUUAGGCCUUUGUAAAAUUUAAAAUUUUUCGAAAUAGCAAUGAGCAUAUCUCUAUAUAUUUUCAAGUGAACUUUCGCUUUAUUU
Long non-coding RNA from Carcharodon carcharias (great white shark), 2951 nucleotides. RefSeq lists it as uncharacterized. The transcript is spliced from 2 exons. The record is from RefSeq and is a predicted model, not a curated record. NCBI's taxonomy places the organism in Eukaryota, Metazoa, Chordata, Chondrichthyes, Lamniformes, Lamnidae.